This 72-nucleotide transfer RNA is filed under the name Camelus ferus (Wild Bactrian camel). It matches the Rfam family "tRNA". Rfam says of the family: Transfer RNA (tRNA) molecules are approximately 80 nucleotides in length. Their secondary structure includes four short double-helical elements and three loops (D, anti-codon, and T loops). Lineage: Eukaryota; Metazoa; Chordata; Mammalia; Artiodactyla; Camelidae. The record is from Rfam by way of RNAcentral.
GGUGGUAGAGCUCAGUGGUAGAGUGUGUGCUUAGCAUGCACAAGGUCCUGGGUUCAAUCCCCCGUGCCUCCA